RNAcentral lists this ribosomal RNA (914 nucleotides) under Phaeotrichum setosum. Its description in RNAcentral is "LSU rRNA". It matches the Rfam family "Eukaryotic large subunit ribosomal RNA", at positions 38 to 964 of the family's 3401-position model. The record is from RNAcentral. Lineage: Eukaryota; Fungi; Ascomycota; Dothideomycetes; Phaeotrichales; Phaeotrichaceae.
GCAUAUCAAUAAGCGGAGGAAAAGAAACCAACAGGGAUUGCCUUAGUAACGGCGAGUGAAGCGGCAACAGCUCAAAUUUGAAAUCUGGCGCCUUCGGCGUCCGAGUUGUAAUUUGUAGAGGAUGCUUCAGGCGCGGCGCCGACCGAAGUUCUUUGGAACAGGACGUCAGAGAGGGUGAGAACCCCGUAUGCGUUCGGCGCGCAGUUGCCUGUGUGAAGCUCCUUCGAAGAGUCGAGUUGUUUGGGAAUGCAGCUCUAAAUGGGUGGUAAAUUCCAUCUAAAGCUAAAUAUUGGCCAGAGACCGAUAGCGCACAAGUAGAGUGAUCGAAAGAUGAAAAGCACUUUGAAAAGAGAGUUAAAAAGUACGUGAAAUUGUUGAAAGGGAAGCGCUUGCAACCAGACUCGUCCGCGGGGGUAUCGUUCGCCGUCAGGCGGACGUACACGCCCCCGUGGCCGGGCCAGCAUCGGUUUGGGCGACCGGAUAAAGGCCCUAGGAAUGUGGCCCUCCUUCGGGAGGGUGUUAUAGCCUGGGGUGCAAUGCGGCCAGCCUGGACCGAGGUCCGCGCUUCGGCUAGGAUGCUGGCGUAAUGGUUGUAAGCGGCCCGUCUUGAAACACGGACCAAGGAGUCUAACAUCUAUGCGAGUGUUCGGGUGUCAAACCCGUGCGCGUAAUGAAAGUGAACGGAGGUGGGAACCCCUCGGGGCGCACCAUCGACCGAUCCUGAUGUCUUCGGAAGGAUUUGAGUAAGAGCAUAGCUGUUGGGACCCGAAAGAUGGUGAACUAUGCGUGAAUAGGGUGAAGCCAGAGGAAACUCUGGUGGAGGCUCGCAGCGGUUCUGACGUGCAAAUCGAUCGUCAAAUUUGCGUAUAGGGGCGAAAGACUAAUCGAACCAUCUAGUAGCUGGUUCCUGCCGA